GAUGAACGCUGGCGGCGUGCCUAAUACAUGCAAGUCGAGCGAACGGACGAGAAGCUUGCUUCUCUGAUGUUAGCGGCGGACGGGUGAGUAACACGUGGAUAACCUACCUAUAAGACUGGGAUAACUUCGGGAAACCGGAGCUAAUACCGGAUAAUAUUUUGAACCGCAUGGUUCAAAAGUGAAAGACGGUCUUGCUGUCACUUAUAGAUGGAUCCGCGCUGCAUUAGCUAGUUGGUAAGGUAACGGCUUACCAAGGCAACGAUGCAUAGCCGACCUGAGAGGGGGGACGGGCACACUGGAACUGAGACACGGUCCAGACUCCUACGGGAGGGAGGAGUAGGGAAUCUUCCACAAUGGGCGAAAGCCUGACGGGGCAACGCCGCGUGAGUGAUGAAGGUCUUCGGAUCGUAAAACUCUGUUAUUAGGGAAGAACAUAUGUGUAAGUAACUGUGCACAUCUUGACGGUACCUAAACAGAAAGCCACGGCUAAAUACGUAC
Molecule: ribosomal RNA, 498 nt
Filed under: uncultured bacterium
Lineage: Bacteria
Description: partial 16S ribosomal RNA
Rfam family: Bacterial small subunit ribosomal RNA
Source: RNAcentral